CGGUUAAGAUUGUCUACUUUAGA
This 23-nucleotide non-coding RNA is filed under the name Arabidopsis thaliana (thale cress). Lineage: Eukaryota; Viridiplantae; Streptophyta; Magnoliopsida; Brassicales; Brassicaceae. The record is from RNAcentral.